CGAACGGAAAGGCCCUGCUUGCAGGGUACUCGAGUGGCGAACGGGUGAGUAACACGUGGGUGAUCUGCCCUGCACUUCGGGAUAAGCUUGGGAAACUGGGUCUAAUACCGGAUAGGAACCAUCUUUAGUGUGGUGGUUGGAAAGUUUUUUCGGUGUAGGAUGAGCUCGCGGCCUAUCAGCUUGUUGGUGGGGUAAUGGCCUACCAAGGCGGCGACGGGUAGCCGGCCUGAGAGGGUGUACGGCCACAUUGGGACUGAGAUACGGCCCAGACUCCUACGGGAGGCAGCAGUGGGGAAUAUUGCACAAUGGGCGCAAGCCUGAUGCAGCGACGCCGCGUGGGGGAUGAAGGCCUUCGGGUUGUAAACUCCUUUCGCUAGGGACGAAGCUUUUUGUGACGGUACCUAGAUAAGGAGCACCGGCUAACUACGUGCCAGCAGCCGCGGUAAUACGUAGGGUGCGAGCGUUGUCCGGAAUUACUGGGCGUAAAGGGCUCGUAGGUGGUUUGUCGCGUCGUCUGUGAAAUUCUGGGGCUUAACUCCGGGCGUGCAGGCGAUACGGGCAUAACUUGAGUGCUGUAGGGGUAACUGGAAUUCCUGGUGUAGCGGUGAAAUGCGCAGAUAUCAGGAGGAACACCGAUGGCGAAGGCAGGUUACUGGGCAGUUACUGACGCUGAGGAGCGAAAGCAUGG
This 688-nucleotide ribosomal RNA is filed under the name uncultured Actinomycetales bacterium. RNAcentral's name for it is "bacterial SSU rRNA". It matches the Rfam family "Bacterial small subunit ribosomal RNA", at positions 63 to 764 of the family's 1533-position model. The record is from RNAcentral. Lineage: Bacteria; Bacillati; Actinomycetota; Actinomycetes; Actinomycetales.